Molecule: long non-coding RNA, 634 nt
Filed under: Homo sapiens (human)
Lineage: Eukaryota; Metazoa; Chordata; Mammalia; Primates; Hominidae
Description: HSALNT0370868
Source: RNAcentral
GAGAAGGAACGAGUCAGAGGAGAGGAGAGAGAGAGUAAAAAAGGGAGAGUGAGAGAUUUGAUCUUGUGACACCCGUUUUUCCUUUGCACUGGUCACCAUCCCUCCCGAAGUUCUCCAUCUCCCUCAACCCCAUGCGUUAGUCCAGCUUCCUGCCUGGGUAUUGGGUGGAGGGUUCCGUAACCAAUGGUACUGAAUACGGGUGAGCAGAAAGGGGUCCUCUGAAGGGAGUGUGGAUGACUCAGGGCCCUCCCUGCUCCCCAGAUGACACCCUAGGCAGAAAGUCACUUCCCCAUGUCUCCUCUGCAUCACUCAAGGCAGGCGCCUCAACGUCACAGAGCUUCAGGGGCCAUUCAGGCAGCAUAAAUAUGUGGAUCAGCCCAGCACUAACAUAAUAUCAACCGGAGGCCCGAGUUAAAACAGAAGGUGCUGCUUUGCCUCCAGAAUAUUUGUGUGGUGAUCCUCUAAUUUUUCAAGCGAUGGGCUAUAGGAUGAGGACCUGCCAGGGCCAAGAAGACACAUUUCAGAAGGAGGCUCUUAAAGGCCAAGUGGUGAGGAGGUUCCAAGGUGGCCGAAUAGGAAGAGCUCCAGUCUACAGCUCCCAGCGUGAGUGAUGCAGAAGACGGGUGAUUUCUGU